Molecule: small nuclear RNA, 288 nt
Filed under: Tupaia belangeri chinensis (Chinese tree shrew)
Lineage: Eukaryota; Metazoa; Chordata; Mammalia; Scandentia; Tupaiidae
Description: Tupaia chinensis (Chinese tree shrew) 7SK RNA
Rfam family: 7SK RNA
About the family: 7SK was discovered as an abundant small nuclear RNA in the mid-70s but a possible function has only recently been suggested. Two independent studies have found that 7SK RNA binds the CDK9/cyclin T complex (known as elongation factor P-TEFb).
Source: Rfam by way of RNAcentral
GGAUGUGAGGGCAAUCUGGCUGCAACAUCUGUCACCUCCCUGAUCACCAGGCAGAUCUAGUGGGUGAAGUGAGUGUCCCCUUUUCCCCUCACUCCUUCCUGUGCAUUCUACUGAUGCCGAACUGAAGAGGACAACCUUCCUCAAUAGAGAAGGGCUGUUCCUUGGGCAAGGGUGUACUAAUAGUUACAGGUCCCUUCUAGAAUCUCCACAGAACCAGUGACUUGAAUUACCUAUGAUGUGACAAUGACUACCGAUUGUAGGUCUCCAUCUUAGAUAUCCUUUCUGAGU